This 325-nucleotide unclassified non-coding RNA is filed under the name Hevea brasiliensis (rubber tree). The record is from RNAcentral. Lineage: Eukaryota; Viridiplantae; Streptophyta; Magnoliopsida; Malpighiales; Euphorbiaceae.
UCCAUCUUCAAUUACAACAAGUCAACAACAUAUAUUUCAAAAUAUGAAAAAAGUGAAAUCUUUUGGAUUCUAUGGCCAAACGCCGACUAAGUAUUUUUACACAACUACUUGGAAUGAGAACUUCAAGAAAACUGAAAAAAUGAUGUCUUUGGACUGAUGACUAUUAAACUGGUCGAUAAAACGAUAGAGAUUCAACUCACUACUUCUAACCUACCAUUCUCCACAAGAUGUCUCGGAAUUCUCAUAGCUUGCUCAUGAAGCUGGAUAAUGAGCUAAAAUACGCCAUGCCAUGUUUGACAUGCCCAGAGUUCUACAUAAAAAAAGG